This 85-nucleotide transfer RNA is filed under the name Felis catus (domestic cat). It matches the Rfam family "tRNA". From Rfam's summary of the family: Transfer RNA (tRNA) molecules are approximately 80 nucleotides in length. Their secondary structure includes four short double-helical elements and three loops (D, anti-codon, and T loops). Further hydrogen bonds mediate the characteristic L-shaped molecular structure. tRNAs have two regions of fundamental functional importance: the anti-codon, which is responsible for specific mRNA codon recognition, and the 3' end, to which the tRNAs corresponding amino acid is attached (by aminoacyl-tRNA synthetases). tRNAs cope with the degeneracy of the genetic code in two manners: having more than one tRNA (with a specific anti-codon) for a particular amino acid; and 'wobble' base-pairing, i.e. permitting non-standard base-pairing at the 3rd anti-codon position. Lineage: Eukaryota; Metazoa; Chordata; Mammalia; Carnivora; Felidae. RNAcentral also lists the same sequence under 1 other name. The record is from Rfam by way of RNAcentral.
GCCUGGGUGGCUCAGUCGGUUAAGUGUCUGACUUCCACUCAGGUCAUGAUCUCACGGUUUGUGGGUUUGAGCCCUGCAUCAGGCU